GACUCUCGGCAACGGAUAUCUCGGCUCUCGCAUCGAUGAAGAACGUAGCGAAAUGCGAUACUUGGUGUGAAUUGCAGAAUCCCGUGAACCAUCGAGUCUUUGAACGCAAGUUGCGCCCGAAGCCUUUAGGCUAAGGGCACGCCUGCCUGGGCGUCACGCAGCGUCGCCACCGCCCAAU
This 178-nucleotide ribosomal RNA is filed under the name Calliandra ulei. RNAcentral's name for it is "5.8S ribosomal RNA". The stretch from base 1 to 156 matches the Rfam family "5.8S ribosomal RNA". From Rfam's summary of the family: 5.8S ribosomal RNA (5.8S rRNA) is a component of the large subunit of the eukaryotic ribosome. It is transcribed by RNA polymerase I as part of the 45S precursor that also contains 18S and 28S rRNA. The record is from RNAcentral. Lineage: Eukaryota; Viridiplantae; Streptophyta; Magnoliopsida; Fabales; Fabaceae.